This 627-nucleotide long non-coding RNA is filed under the name Gossypium raimondii (Peruvian cotton). RNAcentral describes it as "long non-coding RNA (GRAI_LNC000859)". The record is from RNAcentral. Lineage: Eukaryota; Viridiplantae; Streptophyta; Magnoliopsida; Malvales; Malvaceae.
CCUUAAGCCAACUCUAUCGGAACUAGGGAAAGGAACGUACAAAGCAGUCUAUCCAAAGGAUGCGUUACCGAUUUACAUGAUUCCGAAGGAUAUCGAGGAUUUAAUCAAGAGAGACAUUGUGCCUGAAGUUUUGGGAUUGACAUCACCUAAACCAACCACACCGUCUCCGAAACCCUCUUCAUCGUCUUUUAAGCCAAGUCCAUCCCUUAAGCCAACUCUAUCGGAACUAGGGAAAGGAAAGUACAAAACACUCAAUCCAGAGGAUACAUUACCGAUUAAGCCGGUUCUAUAUCCUCCUAGUCCGCUGCCAUCAUUUAAAACAUCAUUCACGGCCCAAAAACCAUCUCCAUCACCUAAAGGACUGACACCACCUAAAUCAACCACACCAUCUCUGAAACCCUCUUCAUCGUCUUGUAAGCCAAGUCCAUCCCUUAAGCCAACUCUAUCGGAACUAGGGAAAGGAAAGUACAAAACAGUCGAUCCAAAGGAUAUGUUACCGAUUUACAUGAUUCCGAAGGAUAUCGAGGAUUUAAUCAAGAGAGACACUGUGCCUGAAAUUUUGAAGAAGCCAUUGUCUGCCUCUUCAUAUCAGGAUUUCUUUGCAGCCCUUCUAUAUGCUGAGGAUUC